GAUCAUGGCUCAGGAUGAACGCUAGCUACAGGCUUAACACAUGCAAGUCGAGGGGCAGCAUGAACUUAGCUUGCUAAGUUUGAUGGCGACCGGCGCACGGGUGAGUAACACGUAUCCAACCUGCCGAUGACUCGGGGAUAGCCUUUCGAAAGAAAGAUUAAUACCCGAUGGCAUAGUUCUUCCGCAUGGUAGAACUAUUAAAGAACUUCGGUCAUCGAGUGGGGAUGCGUUCCUAG
RNAcentral lists this ribosomal RNA (236 nucleotides) under uncultured bacterium. RNAcentral's name for it is "partial 16S ribosomal RNA". It matches the Rfam family "Bacterial small subunit ribosomal RNA", at positions 15 to 242 of the family's 1533-position model. The record is from RNAcentral.